ACGGCGUCCACGUCGGCCGGCGCGAGCCGGGCGGCGGCCAGGGCCUGGCGGAUCACGCGCUCCUGGGAGGGGCCGUUCGGGGCGGUCAGGCCGUU
This 95-nucleotide transfer RNA is filed under the name Streptomyces spectabilis. Its description in RNAcentral is "tRNA-Pro". The record is from RNAcentral. Lineage: Bacteria; Bacillati; Actinomycetota; Actinomycetes; Kitasatosporales; Streptomycetaceae.